AGGGACACACCUGCGCGGCGGGACCUGUCUCCUGAGGCUGGGUGGUGCAGCAGGUUCUAGCGCCGGGGCGUGGCUGGCCGCGGGCGCCAAGGGAGGCAGGCCUGAAGAUGGAGGAAGGAACUUGGUUAAAUACUUACGCUCUUUUGCGCCUCACAGCAGCCGGGUGGAGACCGCAGCGCAGGCCUCCGCAGGGCUUAGGUUGCAGAAAGCCAGCAGGUAGUGGGAGACCCUGAAAUUCUAGACUCCUGUCUUUGCUCAUGAGUUUCCUAAUGGUUAAUCACAGAAGAACUUCCGAGAAAGAGUAUUGGGGAAGCUAGCUGGGAAGGGCCAGCUCAGGGAGAAGGGUUAAAGGAGGCAGGGAGACAGGGGAUGUCAUCUGGGAGCAAGGAAGAGGCAGAGGGCCCACUUGUGUGAGAGGCCACCAGACUUAGAUUCCCUUUUCAGUUCCAGUGGAUCUUACCAGCUGGAUGGCCUCGGGGAAGUUACUUAGCAUCUCAGGGCUCCCUUGCAAAAUGAGUUACAAUAUGUACUGCGCGUACCUGAAAGUGUUGGUCUUGUACUCGGUGGGCAACAAUCAGGUUUCUUGAAAAGAGCUGUCAGACCUCUGGGCCCGCUGCCUGGAAUGCCCUUCCCCCACUUCUUGUGGUGCUCUCCAAGUCAUGAAGCUUUUUACAAAUUCUCCACAGUCACUCUCCUUUGGUUAACGAUUUUUGUUGUUGUUCGUUUUUGAAACAAGGUCUCGCUCUGUCACCCGGGCUGGAAUGCAGUGGCAUGAACACAGCUCACUGCAGCCUUUGACCUCAUGGGCUCAAAGGAUCCUCCAGCCCCAGCCUCCGAAGUAGCUAGUAAGGGGUCCCCAUCUACGCCCCAAGAGAGGGUUCUUGGAUUUCCUGCAAGAAAGAAUUCGAGGGGAAUCCAUAGAGUGAAAGCAAGUUUAUUAAGAAAGUAAA
Sapajus apella (tufted capuchin) is the source of this 950-nucleotide long non-coding RNA. RefSeq lists it as uncharacterized. The transcript is spliced from 2 exons. The record is from RefSeq and is a predicted model, not a curated record. Lineage: Eukaryota; Metazoa; Chordata; Mammalia; Primates; Cebidae.